This 253-nucleotide ribosomal RNA is filed under the name uncultured bacterium. RNAcentral's name for it is "partial 16S ribosomal RNA". It matches the Rfam family "Bacterial small subunit ribosomal RNA", at positions 524 to 776 of the family's 1533-position model. The record is from RNAcentral.
UACAGAGGGUGCGAGCGUUGUCCGGAAUCACUGGGCGUAAAGGGCGCGUAGGCGGCCUGAUAAGUAGGGGGUGGAAUCCUGUGGCUUAACUGCAGGGCUGCCUCCUAGACUGUUAGGCUCGAGCACGGUAGAGGCAGAUGGAAUUCCCGGUGUAGCGGUGGAAUGCGUAGAGAUCGGGAAGAACAUCGGUGGCGAAGGCGGUCUGCUGGGCUAACACUGACGCUCAGGCACGAAAGCGUGGGGAGCAAACAGG